CGGCUGGCGCAGCUACCAUGCAAGUCGAGCGGAAACAAAGAGUAGCUUGCUACUCUGGCGACGAGCGGCGGACGGGUGAGUAAUGCUUGGGAACAUGCCUUGAGGUGGGGGACAACAGUUGGAAACGACUGCUAAUACCGCAUAAUGUCUACGGACCAAAGGGGGCUUCGGCUCUCGCCUUUAGAUUGGCCCAAGUGGGAUUAGCUAGUUGGUGAGGUAAUGGCUCACCAAGGCGACGAUCCCUAGCUGGUUUGAGAGGAUGAUCAGCCACACUGGGACUGAGACACGGCCCAGACUCCUACGGGAGGCAGCAGUGGGGAAUAUUGCACAAUGGGCGCAAGCCUGAUGCAGCCAUGCCGCGUGUGUGAAGAAGGCCUUCGGGUUGUAAAGCACUUUCAGUCAGGAGGAAAGGUUAGUAGUUAAUACCUGCUAGCUGUGACGUUACUGACAGAAGAAGCACCGGCUAACUCCGUGCCAGCAGCCGCGGUAAUACGGAGGGUGCGAGCGUUAAUCGGAAUUACUGGGCGUAAAGCGUACGCAGGCGGUUUGUUAAGCGAGAUGUGAAAGCCCCGGGCUCAACCUGGGAACUGCAUUUCGAACUGGCAAACUAGAGUGUGAUAGAGGGUGGUAGAAUUUCAGGUGUAGCGGUGAAAUGCGUAGAGAUCUGAAGGAAUACCGAUGGCGAAGGCAGCCACCUGGGUCAACACUGACGCUCAUGUACGAAAGCGUGGGGAGCAAACAGGAUUAGAUACCCUUGGUAGUCA
This 764-nucleotide ribosomal RNA is filed under the name Pseudoalteromonas sp. RNAcentral's name for it is "bacterial SSU rRNA". It matches the Rfam family "Bacterial small subunit ribosomal RNA", at positions 40 to 796 of the family's 1533-position model. The record is from RNAcentral. Lineage: Bacteria; Pseudomonadati; Pseudomonadota; Gammaproteobacteria; Alteromonadales; Pseudoalteromonadaceae.